RNAcentral lists this non-coding RNA (31 nucleotides) under Mus musculus (house mouse). The record is from RNAcentral. Lineage: Eukaryota; Metazoa; Chordata; Mammalia; Rodentia; Muridae.
UCUUCAAUUAAAGCUAAGUGCAAAGGAUGGA